CCUACGGGAGGCAGCAGUGAGGAAUAUUGGUCAAUGGGCGAGAGCCUGAACCAGCCAAGUCGCGUGAAGGAUGAAGGAUCUAUGGUUUGUAAACUUCUUUUAUAUGGGAAUAAAGUGAGGAACGUGUUCCUUUUUGUAUGUACCAUAUGAAUAAGCAUCGGCUAACUCCGUGCCAGCAGCCGCGGUAAUACGGAGGAUUCGAGCGUUAUCCGGAUUUAUUGGGUUUAAAGGGUGAGUUGGUGGUUAAUUAAGUCAGCUGUGAAAGUUUGUUGCUCAACCAUAAAAUUGCCGGUGAAACUGGUUGACGUGAGGAGAUUUUAGGGAGGCGGAAUUCGUGG
This 338-nucleotide ribosomal RNA is filed under the name uncultured bacterium. RNAcentral describes it as "partial 16S ribosomal RNA". It matches the Rfam family "Bacterial small subunit ribosomal RNA", at positions 338 to 673 of the family's 1533-position model. The record is from RNAcentral.